Molecule: non-coding RNA, 148 nt
Filed under: Homo sapiens (human)
Lineage: Eukaryota; Metazoa; Chordata; Mammalia; Primates; Hominidae
Source: Rfam by way of RNAcentral
GCCGGGCGUAGUGGCAUGCUCCUGUAAUCCCAGCUACUUAGGAGGCUGAGACAGAAGAAUUGCUUGCACCCAGGAGGCGGAGGUUGCAGUGAGCCUAGAUCAUGCCACUGCACCCCAGCCUGGGUGACAGGGUGAGACUCUGUCUCAA